GACAGAGGCCUCAAGCGUUAGGCGGAAUCACUGGGCUUAAAGCGUGUGUAGGCGGAUCGUUAAGUGUCUUGUGAAAUCCCACGGCUCACCCGUGGAACGGCUGGGCAUACUGGCGAUCUUGGGCCAACUAGGGGCAACUGGAACAAGCGGUGGAGCGGUGAAAUGCGUAGAUAUCGCGUGGAACGCCGAAGGUGAAAACAGGUUGCUGGGGUUGUGCCGACGCUGAGACACGAAAGCCAGGGGAGCAAACGGG
This 253-nucleotide ribosomal RNA is filed under the name uncultured bacterium. RNAcentral describes it as "partial 16S ribosomal RNA". It matches the Rfam family "Bacterial small subunit ribosomal RNA", at positions 524 to 776 of the family's 1533-position model. The record is from RNAcentral.